CCAGAAACCCUUUUUUUCUAGGGUAGGAAUAUGGCAAGCAGGAUGAGGACCUAAACAUGGGACUCAAGUAAAAGAGGAUUAUCUUAAACACUGGGACACUAGGAACCAGGAACUGGGAGCAAUGGAAACCAGACGCAAGAAGAUACUCACACAGCACAAGGGGUGUUGCAGAGUCUAAGAGAAAGACUAUGUAAGAUGGAAAAAGCCACUGAUGUCACUAUAGAUCUCACGAUUAGUCCCAGCUUUUUCCCUCCUGUUUUCCAUUCCCUUGUUACUCUCUGGUGUAUUUGAGCCCUGUGUUUUCUUCUGUUGUCGGAUCGUUACCCCACGUGCUGUGUGAGUAUCUUCUUGCGUCUGGUUUCCAUUGCUCCCAGUUCCUGGCUCCUAGUGUCCCAGUGUUUAAUUUCUUAGUUUCUAGCUUAGGUUAUUUCUUUGAGUUUUUGAGUAUCUGCAAAGCGCAAUAAAGCUGCCACUUUAAGUUCAUCCUUCUG
Molecule: long non-coding RNA, 491 nt
Organism: Oreochromis aureus
Lineage: Eukaryota; Metazoa; Chordata; Actinopteri; Cichliformes; Cichlidae
Exons: 4
Source: RefSeq, a predicted model, not a curated record